GGGAGUAUUUGGCGUCUGGUGGCGCCCUCGGUCUUCAAAACCGCUGUAUCCGCUUCGCGGUGGAUGGGUCGGGUUCGAUUCCCACAUACUCCCG
This 94-nucleotide transfer RNA is filed under the name Bacteroidota bacterium. RNAcentral describes it as "Bacteroidetes bacterium (activated sludge metagenome) tRNA-Sec". It matches the Rfam family "Selenocysteine transfer RNA". The record is from RNAcentral. Lineage: Bacteria; Pseudomonadati; Bacteroidota.